This 331-nucleotide small nuclear RNA is filed under the name Jaculus jaculus (lesser Egyptian jerboa). RNAcentral's name for it is "7SK RNA (ENSJJAG00000007507.1)". It matches the Rfam family "7SK RNA". Rfam says of the family: 7SK was discovered as an abundant small nuclear RNA in the mid-70s but a possible function has only recently been suggested. Two independent studies have found that 7SK RNA binds the CDK9/cyclin T complex (known as elongation factor P-TEFb). The record is from Rfam by way of RNAcentral. Lineage: Eukaryota; Metazoa; Chordata; Mammalia; Rodentia; Dipodidae.
GGAUGUGAGGGCGAUCUGGCUGCGACAUCUGUCACCCCAUUGAUCGCCAGGGUUGAUUCAGCUGAUCUGGCCGGCCAGGUAAGUGUCCCCUUCCUCCCUCACAGCUUCAUGUGUGUCCCUCCUGAAGCUGCACACUCAGUCGAAGAGGACCACCUUUCACAAUAGAGGAGUACCGAUCUUCAGUGAAAGGUACACCAGUAGCUGCGUUCUCCUGCUUGAACCUCCACACAAGCUCUCAAGGUCCUUUUGCAGGAGAACGUAGGGUAGUCAAGCUUCCUAGACUCCAGACACAUCCAAAUUAGACGUUGCAUGUGGCAGUCUGCCUUUGUUU